This 376-nucleotide ribosomal RNA is filed under the name uncultured bacterium. RNAcentral's name for it is "bacterial SSU rRNA". It matches the Rfam family "Bacterial small subunit ribosomal RNA", at positions 30 to 407 of the family's 1533-position model. The record is from RNAcentral.
AUUGAACGCUGGCGGCAUGCCUUACACAUGCAAGUCGAACGGCAGCACGGGAGCAAUCCUGGUGGCGAGUGGCGAACGGGUGAGUAAUAUAUCGGAACGUGCCCAGUCGUGGGGAUAACGUAGCGAAAGCUACGCUAAUACCGCAUACGAUCUAUGGAUGAAAGCGGGGGAUCGCAAGACCUCGCGCGAUUGGAGCGGCCGAUAUCAGAUUAGGUAGUUGGUGAGGUAAAGGCUCACCAAGCCGACGAUCUGUAGCUGGUCUGAGAGGACGACCAGCCACACUGGGACUGAGACACGGCCCAGACUCCUACGGGAGGCAGCAGUGGGGAAUUUUGGACAAUGGGCGCAAGCCUGAUCCAGCAAUGCCGCGUGCAGG